ACAAACCUGAACACUUAUAACUCCAAACAAUUGACGUCUCGUGGAGCUCACAGUAAGACCAUGGAGUUCACGUAGUGAAAUACUCGAAAACAUGUUGCAACCAACAUCAAGUUUCAAUAACAAGUUGGAAAAUUUCAAGAAAAUAAUGGGUCAUCUGACCCGUUUGACCAGUUACUAACCUUCACGCUCGCGAUCCAAUCUGUAUGUAUAUUAUUCGUCAAGUUUUGUGACCCAUUCUUGUCAGCUGUUCUUAUGAACACACCAUGUUCGACUGCAAGCCAUACAUUAUAAUCUUCAAAGUUCUGCAGAAUCAUUGAGUCAACAAGAUUCAGAUUGCAACUAAAAAGCAAGAAAUUUAAAUGCAGUUGCAAAUAAAAAGCAUGUUACCUUUUCGAGUAUGCAACGUUGGCUCCCACUUAUAAUAACAACCGUUGAUGUUGGAUCAUCACAAAGCCUCUUUAAAGGUUGUUCUAGCUCAAAGCCUCUUUAAAGAUUAAGCAAAAAGACUAUAUAAUCAAAUAUUAGCUUCUCACAAUUAGUUGUGAACUUAUAGCUGUGUGUAAAAAGGUUAUAUAAACAUGUGAGCCAUAGUUAAAAGUUAAAACCAUAAAACACAAUUAUUAGAGCCUAUAUAAAUUUGUAAGAUAGAAGAAUCAAUGCAAAACGAAACAUGGAAAUUGCCAGGUUUUGAAUUGUCAUAUCUAACAUGUUUAAUAAAUAGACCGUGUUAAUAUUAACGUGUUCAACAUGUUUAACUAAACGGGCCAUGUUCAGGCUGACCUGUUUAAUCCAUUUAGUGUAUGUUUGGCAUGGAGCUUUUAGGAGCUUUUAGCUUUAAGCUUUUAAGAAAAAGCUCAUACUUAAUAAAAAGUCUUGUUUGUUUGAAGGAGCUUUAAGCUUUUAGGUUAGGAGCUUGAAGCUUUUGGUUGAACGCUACUACUAGUAGCGUUUAGAAGGAGCUACAAGCUUUUAGGGAAAAAUGACUAUUUUAACCUCUCAAAAUAAGAAACUUUUUAAUUCACCAACUUUCUAAAUUUUUAGUUAUGUUCAUUUUGGUAAUUUUAUACAUUUUAUUAAAAGCUCUAGCUACUCUACCAAACACCAAAUAUAUCUAAAAAGCUACAGCUACUAGCUACCAGCUACAGCUACCAGCCACCAGCUUCCAGCCCCUAGCUACCAGCUUCCAGCUUUCAGCUAUCAGCCACCAGCUAGUUUUGCCAAACAUACCCUUAAUCAAACAUAUCAACCAACCCGUUUUAAAAGCUCCCAAUCAACCAGCCAACCCGAUUAACCCAUUUGUUACAACUUGCCACUGUGUUUAACACGUUUACAAUUUGAUUACAACCCGUUUGACUCGUUUUGAUAAACGGGUUGAACGGGUUGUGUCCGGUUUACAUGAUUUAAGCACGUUUACAACUAGAUUAUAACCCUUUUACAACCCGAUUGACUCGUUUUGAUAAACGGGUUAAACAGGCCGUGUUCAGUUUACAUGAUUUUAAGUAUGUCCGGGCUAGGGUGAAUGUCUUUGACACAAACAAAGAUAAUGGGUCAUGUUCAAGUUCAACAAUUCAACCCACCUGACACAGUGACCACCCCUACAUGAAAUAAGUUUUUUUUUUUUUUUUUUUUUUUUUUUUCAGUUUAAAGCGGUUAAAGAUGAAUAGAAAACAAAACCACAUGCUCAAUCUAGUAGUAGACCUGGCAAACGCCUCGGGUUGGGUCGGGUCGUGGGUCAAAAUGGGUUCGGGUCAAAAUGGGUACGGGUCAAAACGGGUCAAUUAAAAAAAGGGUUGCUUUGGUUCGGGUCAAAACGGGUUCGGGUCGGAACGGGUUUCGGGUUGGAUCGGGUUAGUUAAGAAAUGCUUUUUUUAAGAGAUUGUACAUCAUGGGGCAAUUUUGUCAGGUUAAAACGGGUCCGGAUUGGUUCGGGUUGAGAAUGGGUUCGGGUCAAAAAAAGUGGGCUUCUUCAGGUAAUACUGGUGUUGUUGUUGAAGAAGGUCUACAAAGAGUGCCACCAGUAGUCAACUCUCAAGAGGUUCCAGAUUUAUCUACUUCUACGAUCAUUGAAUGCCAAAGAAUUGGAUUUGAAGUAAUUUUUAUGAGUUUUUAAAUUUGUAGAUAGUUUUAGACUUUUAGAUGUGGAAAUUUGAUAUGUUUAACAACUAGUUUUUAUUCUUAAAUGAUUUCCUUUAGAUCUUCUAGUAACUCAGUAAACAAAAUUCAAAUAAAAAAGUUAGUUUCAUGACUUAAUGACUUAUAAUUGGAUCAAGUAGUUACAUAUACAUGUGUACUGCUCCUAUCAAUAGUGUUUGGGGUGGGGUGGGGUGGUUGAUAACAAUGAAACGGUAAGUGCCUGUGAUUGUUCCAUGAACAACAGUGCCGUUUUUGAGUUCGAUCGAAACCAGAACCAUAAAACUUAAGAUAAUAAUCAUCCAGGGUAUGUACCUUCAUAUUCUAAAAUCAAGAAUAUCUUUUUUUAAAUAUAUAACUUAAAUAAAAAAUCAAAACUUGUUAUCAUACUACUAAAAAACAACUCAUAUAUCAAUAUAUUUCCACUAAAAACAAAUAUUUUUUCUCUCUCCUUUUCAAUUAAAUAAUAUUUUUAUACCUUUAUCAUUACAUUUUUCUCUCUCCUUCACUCACAACCGCUUUUAAUAUAUAUUAAAAAGUUAUAGUGGGUGAACAGUGUCGCCCCAAAUAUACAGAUGAACAGUAACAUUUUCUCUCUCCUCCACUCACAACCAUUUUUUAUACUCUUUAUAUUUUAAAAACACCACACUCACAAUUUGAUUCUUUGGAUGUGAAUGCUCUAAAGAGCAGAAACCAUAUGAGAUCAGACCAAAAAAAAAAAAAAAAAAUCCCCAAAAUUAAGGUGAUUCGCAUAUAAAUAUUAAUCAAACUCAAAUACAACAAAACUAGUAAAAGAUUAACAAACAGAUCCAAAACUGAAUUAAAUAAAUUAAAACUAAUCACACCCAUGUAAGCAAAUAUUAAUCAAACUCAAAUACAACAAAACAAGUAAAAUAUUAACAAACAGAACAAUUAAUGUACACAUCAACAACAUUCCUGUUAAACCUAAAAAGACUUCAAUCACAUAUGUUAUUAUGGCCCAAAUUCAAUAACAGGUUCACUACUUUCAGCUAAUUUUUUUUUGGGUCCAAUCAUUUCUAAAGCUAAAUUUAAAACCGAAAACCGACGAAUCCAACCCAUACGAAAAAAGCGAAAACCGAACCUUCGGUUUGCACACAAAGCCAACCUAUCCCCUUUUUAUACACACUUUUUUGAGAUGGCGAUCGGCGGAGUGUGAUAAAGCGGAGAUGCCGGCGGAGGGUGGGGGGGGGGGGGGGGGUUUGGCGGAGGAGAUGAAUAAUCAAUCACAUGACUACAAGUUCCUUCCUAUCCCCUUUUUAUACACACUUUUUGCCAACUAUUCACCCAAAGUUAGAGUCUUUUAACAACACAUGUGUUUCUAAAUUCAAGCAAUUCAUAAAUUAAUAAAUUAUACACAUACAUACCCAUAUAAAAAAAAAAAAAAAAAAGCUGAGAUAAUUAUAACUUACAGCGUUGAGGUUUUUGUAAUGUGGGUUUGGAAAAAAGAUUGGAUUUCGGUGGGGGUGAUGGUGAUUUUGGAAGAAUCUACAAGAAAACUAUGGUGGGGUGGGUUCGUUGUGAUUUGUGAACUUGUGAUUGGGAGGGGAGUGGAAGGGGCAGAACAGUGGAAGAUUGGAAGAAUGAAAUGAAGAUUUUAUAGGGGGGGGGGGGGGGGGGGGGUUGGGGUUGUUUGAAUAGACCCCUUGAGUAUGUGGUUGUUUUAGAUAGGGGUUGGAAUGUUGGAUUCGUUAAGAAAAUGAGUGUGUUUGUGUUUGAUCGUUAGUGUUAUAAACGAACGUAUAUGUAACAGAGGUGAUGUAUUGAUUUAAUAAAAUUAUACUAUAUUGUAAUAGGUAUGUAAACGAACUUUAAAUGAAGUAAGCAAACGGACAUUCACGAACAUAAGUGAGCAGGCAAAAUAUGCGUUUGUGUUUGUUCGUUUAGUUAAAUAAAAAAACUUUAUGUUCGUUCGUAUAUUAAGUAAACGAAUGGUACAUGAAAUGUUUGGUUGUUUACAAGCCUAUACGUGUUUAAACGUAUCUAAUGGAGUGUCAAAGGGCUUGUACCCCAAUGAUAUCAAAGGGUUAUAUUGUUGUUCAUCUCUCAAAAUGGUGAAGAUUCUAGUCUCACUAGAGGAGUAAAUUUUAAUAGUGUACUUUUUCGUUCAAAAAUAGUAUCGAACCAAGUAUAGUUGAAUUUAAAGGUACCAAGUCGUGUAAAGUUAAAUUCAAACUUGUCGAGGCAGUUCAUAGUAGCUUUGAUAGAUUUUAUUAGCAGGUUAAGUUGAGCCAAGCUUAGACGAAUCAAUAAGCUAACUGAGCUUGAAUUUCAGGUUCAGGCUUCAUUAAGCUCGUGUUGAGUUUAGGGUCGAGUAGAGCUUAAGAUUUACCUCGAAUCAACUCAACCUGACUCAGUCACAUAUGUAGUUUUGGAUUUAGAUUUUAAUUUAUUAAAGAUAUAGUACAACCUGACUCGGUCCCGUUUUGAAUUUAGAUUUUAAGUUAUUGAAGAUAUAGUAAUGCUAAGACCACCACUAGUGGUAAGGGAAUUGUGAUUUUUUUUUUGUCCCAAAAAGCCCCACCACACCACCCCUGGGGGGUUUUCUUUCAAAAAAUGGGUUGGGUGUUUCCUCAAACACGCCUCCUCAACUUUAUGAUAGUCAAUAAGAAAUUUCCGACUCAUUUAUGAUAAUAUUAUUUGUUUCAUUUUUUCUAAAAGGUAAUAAUUGGGUAAUCAUUACAAAGGGCAUUAUGGGGCAUCAUACCACUACACCCCUUUUUUAACUUCAAGCAUUAUAAUGCUCUUUGCUGAUUAGGAUGCCACAUGUCAGAUAAUGCCCAAGGGAGGGGUUGAACUUCAAACCCUGCUACACAUGGUCUAAAGAUGAUUUAAUUAUAAACUAAUUAAAUAUUUCCAUAACGAUUAGGUUGGUGGGUGAGGGGUGCGCACCCUACCACAUCACACUAAUAGCGCCCCGGGAUGUUAUAUGCCCUAAAGGUGGUGGGGCCCCUUGUUUUGUCUGUCUGGGAGCAGUGAAAAGGAAAAAAAAAAGUUUAAACCCCUAUAUAUAAACAUACUUCUAACAAAACAGCUACAACUCACUUAAAUCUUUCACACAACUCGCUCUCUAAUUUUUUCCCUGGAGUUUUCUAAUGGCAAGACGUUGGAUCGAAGAAAAGGAGAUAACAUUGGCUAUUGGUUGGAUGAUUGUCACCGAGCAAAUACGGCCUGAAGCAUCGUUGUCGUUUUGGAACGCCGUUUUUGCACAAUUCUGUCAACGUGUGGGUGAAGCCCACCGCAAGAUUUAUGAUAUUCACUGAAAGUAUAGGGACAUCCAAGCAACGUCUAGAAGAUUUGAGAUAGUCUUCAAUGAAGCGAUGAACGAUGGGGAGGUGCUAACUGAGGAUGAAGCGAUUGAGGCGGCUCCUCGCGAGUACCAACACCACUACGACGGUAUUUUUUUACUUGUCAUCCAUGAGAUUAAAAUUGAACAUCUAAUUAUUUCGGAAAAAAAGAAAAUACUAAGACGGUAUUUUUUUUUUUUUUUUGGGUUCUUUAACUUCCAUAGCAUCUAGAGUAUUUAAAGUAAUUUGGACAGAACAAAUAUGCUU
This 5702-nucleotide long non-coding RNA is filed under the name Helianthus annuus (common sunflower). Its description in RNAcentral is "hypothetical non coding rna". The record is from RNAcentral. Lineage: Eukaryota; Viridiplantae; Streptophyta; Magnoliopsida; Asterales; Asteraceae.